CAAAUUCUGCCAACCCAAUAUUUUGUUGGAGUUUAAACUAAUUUAUGAAAGAAAAGUUUCAUAAUAGAUUUUAAAACCUAUUUUAUGUAUUACUUAUAAAGCUCUAAUGACAUUUAUAUAAGCAAAAGUAUUUUUACUUAUUUUAUUUUGAAAGGAUUCAAGUCCCAAAAGUUCACACUUUGGAGGAUUUGAAUUUACAAAUUUACUGAAGUUUAUUUUGACUUAUUUGGAGUUAGAAAUCAAAAGUUAUUAAUAAAAACAGAAAUGGAAAAAAAAGAAAAAGAAUAAAAGAAAAGAGAAUGGACUGACCCAGCUGGGCCGGCCCAUCUCCACUGAACGCACCAGCCCAGCCACGAGCACGAGCUCGUGCUCGUUCUUCCUGCUCUGCAUGUAAGGAAACUCUCUCCU
RNAcentral lists this long non-coding RNA (408 nucleotides) under Brachypodium distachyon (stiff brome). Its description in RNAcentral is "long non-coding RNA (BDIS_LNC002996)". The record is from RNAcentral. Lineage: Eukaryota; Viridiplantae; Streptophyta; Magnoliopsida; Poales; Poaceae.